AGAGAAUAGAUACCCUGGUAGUCCCAGCCGUAAACGAUGCUCGCUAGGUGUCAGGCAUGGCGCGACCGUGUCUGGUGCCGCAGGGAAGCCGUGAAGCGAGCCACCUGGGAAGUACGGCCGCAAGGCUGAAACUUAAAGGAAUUGGCGGGGGAGCACAACAACGGGUGGAGCCUGCGGUUUAAUUGGACUCAACGCCGGACAACUCACCGGGGGCGACAGCAAUAUGUAGGCCAAGCUGAAGACUUUGCCUGAAUCGCUGAGAGGAGGUGCAUGGCCGUCGCCAGUUCGUACUGUGAAGCAUCCUGUUAAGUCAGGCAACGAGCGAGACCCGUGCCCACUGUUACCAGCAUGUCCUGGUACGGAU
Molecule: ribosomal RNA, 364 nt
Filed under: uncultured bacterium
Lineage: Bacteria
Description: bacterial SSU rRNA
Rfam family: Archaeal small subunit ribosomal RNA
Source: RNAcentral